Non-coding RNA from Salmo salar (Atlantic salmon), 58 nucleotides. Lineage: Eukaryota; Metazoa; Chordata; Actinopteri; Salmoniformes; Salmonidae. The record is from Rfam.
UGGCUCAGUUGGUAGAGCAUGGUGUUUGCAAUGCCAGGGUUGUGGGUUUGAUUCCCAC